This 438-nucleotide ribosomal RNA is filed under the name uncultured Oscillospiraceae bacterium. RNAcentral describes it as "bacterial SSU rRNA". It matches the Rfam family "Bacterial small subunit ribosomal RNA", at positions 341 to 792 of the family's 1533-position model. The record is from RNAcentral. Lineage: Bacteria; Bacillati; Bacillota; Clostridia; Eubacteriales; Oscillospiraceae.
ACGGAAGGCAGCAGUGAGGAAUAUUGCACAAUGGACGAAAGUCUGAUGCAGCAACGCCGCGUGAGGGAUGACGGUUUUCGGAUUGUAAACCUCUAUCUUUAGUGACGAAAUAAAUGACGGUAGCUAAAGCAGAAAGCCACGGCUAACUACGUGCCAGCAGCCGCGGUAAUACGUAGGUGGCAAGCGUUGUCCGGAAUUACUGGGUGUAAAGGGAGCGCAGGCGGGAUAGCAAGUCAGCGGUGAAAUAUAUGGGCUUAACCCAUAGACUGCCGUUGAAACUGUUGUUCUUGAGUGGAGUAGAGGUAAGCGGAAUUCCGAGUGUAGCGGUGAAAUGCGUAGAUAUUCGGAGGAACACCAGUGGCGAAGGCGGCUUACUGGGCUCUAACUGACGCUGAGGCUCGAAAGUGUGGGGAGCAAACAGGAUUAGAUACCCUGGUA